Molecule: long non-coding RNA, 1040 nt
Filed under: Gallus gallus (chicken)
Lineage: Eukaryota; Metazoa; Chordata; Aves; Galliformes; Phasianidae
Description: lncRNA (ENSGALG00010023599.1)
Source: RNAcentral
UCUCUAUCUGGAGAUCCCUCCUCUUGGAGCUCUUCUGUGAGCCCAGGAUACGGGGUAAAUUGCUCUGUGAUCCGGGUGGAGUACAAUGGAAGAGCCUUCCCAGCCUUUGUGUGUGAGUUUCCCUGCAAGGAGAUAAGAGCCCAUGGUGAGCUGAGAUAUACCCACAUCCCUUCCUGGCAGACAGGGAUAAGAUGACAUCAAUGAAUUUUACAGAGUUUAGAAUUCUGUUAUCUACCCUUCAACAUCACUAUGUGUCCUAUAUUAGCAAUCUCUAUUAGGGAAUGCACAUCAUGAUGCUAUCUUUUUUUUAGCCCACAAUGAUAAUAAAACAAAAAAAUCCAGACCACCAAGCUGUGUGCCAAGAGCACAUCAUUACUUAUCUUUUCUCUUUUUAGUGUAAGACUGAGAUUCCUUCGUUGCCUGAAGGUUUUUCUGUGGGUUUGUUGUUUUUUUUUUUUUUUUUUGUGUGUGUGUGUGUGUGUGUGUGGUUUUUUUGUUUUGUUUUGUUUUGUUUUGCAGCUUAUCUAACUUCAAAUGUGCUUUGUAAUAGAAACCUGUGGUUUCACAAUAAUGACUCUUUCACAUCUUCUUAUCGCUUUUGGGAAUUAAAUCUGAAAAGCAUUGAUAUAUUUGAAUGACAGCUGUGGGUCUUGUUCCACAGAGAGGCAUUCUUAGCUGGGGCAUCAGUAGGUUUGAAUGGCACAGGAAGGACAGUGGAGCUGCUCCGUGCUGUAAGAUGCCCUUAGGGAACAAGAAAGUAGGAAAUGGCACAACACAUUUAUCUAAGGGUAAAUCAAUUGAUAGUAGACUGUAUGAAGGAGAAGCAACAAAGUUUGAUACAAAAUGUUGUGAAGGGAUGAGAAAUCUUUUAAGUUGUUGUCCUUUGUAUUCUGAGCAUCUUAUUGUAUUCCAGACAAUAGAGAUUAUUAUUCCGCAUUUGUAAACAGGAAAAGCAAGCAGAUACAUUUUAUCUGUUCAAGUUUGCAUAACUAAUGGCGAAGGCAGAGGAAGAACCCAAUAAAGAAGAAUUUGUAGCAAAG